This 294-nucleotide long non-coding RNA is filed under the name Malus domestica (apple). RNAcentral describes it as "long non-coding RNA (MDOM_LNC011015)". The record is from RNAcentral. Lineage: Eukaryota; Viridiplantae; Streptophyta; Magnoliopsida; Rosales; Rosaceae.
AAGAGGAUGAAGAUGUUUGGGAUGCUUUCCAAUCUUUUCCUGCCGCUUUAAAAGCAGCUGAAAGUGAAUCAAAAGGAGAAAGCACAGCGGAAGAACCUGACUUGGAAGUGAAUACACAGAGUGAUUACACUCAUGGAGAUUCUAUUUCGCAACCUCUCAACAACGUAGAUGCAGUCGACGAUACAGACCAUCAAGAGGCUGGUGAAAGGGAGGUGAUAUCAGAUGCCCCUGAUGGUCUAAAAUCCCCACAGGGUAACGCACCAACCAACAGUACUGAGGCAGAAGAACCCCAUG